GAUGAAGAACGUAGCGAAAUGCGAUAAGUAAUGUGAAUUGCAGAAUUCAGUGAAUCAUCGAAUCUUUGAACGCUCCUUGCACCCUUUGGCAUUCCGAAGGGUAUGCUCGUUUGAGUGUCAUUGUACUCUCACACUCUCCGAUCCUAUGGAUUCGGGGAGCGGUGGACUUGGGUGUUGCUGCCUUUCCCUGUGGCUCACCUCAAAUGCGUCAGUGCACCUCUUGGUUGGACAUAGUACGGCGUGAUAAGUGUCUUCGCCGGCACCUCGCAAGAGGGUGGGCGAUCGGGAGCUCUGCGCUUUCAAACCGUCUUCGGACAAUUUCUGACAUCUUGACCUCAAAUCGAGUAGGACUACCCGCUGAACUUAAGCAUAUCAAUAAGCGGAGGA
This 387-nucleotide unclassified non-coding RNA is filed under the name soil metagenome. Its description in RNAcentral is "partial contains 5.8S ribosomal RNA, internal transcribed spacer 2, and large subunit ribosomal RNA". The stretch from base 1 to 120 matches the Rfam family "5.8S ribosomal RNA", at positions 35 to 154 of the family's 154-position model. The record is from RNAcentral.